RNAcentral lists this transfer RNA (41 nucleotides) under Hynobius dunni. Its description in RNAcentral is "partial tRNA-Glu". Lineage: Eukaryota; Metazoa; Chordata; Amphibia; Caudata; Hynobiidae. The record is from RNAcentral.
UAAGGUUUUUAUAGUUGAAUACAACAUUGGCUUUUCAAGCC